Molecule: long non-coding RNA, 337 nt
Filed under: Physcomitrium patens
Lineage: Eukaryota; Viridiplantae; Streptophyta; Bryopsida; Funariales; Funariaceae
Description: long non-coding RNA (PPAT_LNC002229)
Source: RNAcentral
GAUAUUGCGACAAAGUAGCCAUACCUUAUCACCUAAGAGGAAUGGUGGUUGUUCCUUUUGAUAGACAUUCGCAUUGACAUUUUGUUGUUCUUGAGCCUCUUUUAACUACGCCUUCAUUGUUGUAUGUAGCUCUGAUAAAUGAAUCGCUAAAUCUUUCGCAGCAGGAUUAUCAACUUUUGAAAAGUCAAAAGUAUCAAGUCAUGGAUGAUAAUCAUAAUUAGCAAAGAAAGGUGUUUGUUAUGUAGAAGAAUGUACCGUAUUAUUGUAAGCAAACUUUGCCAAUGGCAAAAGAGUUGUCCAAUCAUCUUGUUGGUAGUUAAUGGUACAUCUUAAAUAU